This 2637-nucleotide unclassified non-coding RNA is filed under the name Monomorium pharaonis (pharaoh ant). Its description in RNAcentral is "uncharacterized LOC118645711, transcript variant X1". The record is from RNAcentral. Lineage: Eukaryota; Metazoa; Arthropoda; Insecta; Hymenoptera; Formicidae.
CGCGUAUUUCGCGUUUCUUACGGCGCGGGUUCGUCGAUCGUCGCGUCAUAAUGUACAGGAUAAUCGCGUAGCCCGGCGCGUGGAUUUCUAUAAACACGGAAAUUAAAACAUAAUAAACUGUAUCCCCCCAUCGGAUACGGAGGUUGAAAGUGAUGCCUUGUGGCAAACGCAAUAUAAUAUGCUGACUCUCCCUUCGCUGGUACUGCGGUUGAUGAUUCAUCGCGCUCGCGACUCGCGACACUGGGGAACCUAACCCCCCCUGUUAAUUCUGACGAGGCUGAGUUCGCCGUUCAGGUAGUUGCUUCGCUCGGCGGAUCGCGUCGGGUGGUGACUCGUCGGGUGUCUGCCGGUCCCUCGCACCUGUCGACGGGUUAUCAAGCUGAUAGGAUGAAUCGUAUACGUUUAUGAAUAAUAAUUAUAAAAAAAAUUAAACUUUAUUUAAUUCGUAACAUUUUUUUAACGCGUGUUUCCCUCGCGUUGGAUAUAAAUCUAUGCGCCUUUUAUAAGUCAACUUUACCACUUUCAAUCAAAUUUUUUAAAAUGACGGAAAGUCGACUUUUAGUCGACUUCUAAAAGUCUCAGUAAUAAUUUUGUAUUUAAGUUUAUAAUUUAUAAUAAAAUAAAAUCUCCUGCGCCUCGUGGGCAUUUUACUGAAUGUAACGCUUUGCAAUUUUGACUUUUUGAAUUUAGACCAAUGCACGGAAUUUGCACUUUUAAACUAUAUAGCAACAGUCGUCGCUGAAGCACGUAAGCACGUGUAGCACGCGCAGCAAUAAUUUCGUCUCACACUGUUUUCCAUUCAUCAUUAAACACGUUUGAUAAUAUAAAAUGAGUGACACAUUUUGUGUGGUCGUUACUCAUGAGUGGGUUGCAGCAGUACCCUCUACGUGGGUAUUUCCAAAUGUAAUGAUGGUGUGGUGGCCUACACCAUCAUUAAAUGGAGAAACAAUAACUACAGCUAUUUCUAAAAAGCGGGAACCUGAAGACACGUGGAAUAAAAUUAAUUAUCAAUAUUUGAUAGGUCCUUUUGAAACGUACAUCGAAGCUCGGAAAAUGGAAAAAAGAGCUACUUCGAUCAGCACGGAUGAUGAUACUGAUGCAAUACUUAAAAAAUUUCCAUUAGAUGAAAACAAAAGAAAGAGAAAAGCCAACAAACGAGACGAUUUUAUGUAUACUUCAGGUGCUGCUGCUGCUGCUGUCCCUCCAGGUCAUCGCCAGGAUCCGGAUCGUCGCACGAGAACGCCGUCGGGUAAGUGAAUUUGAGGUUAUGUGAUACCCGCGGUCCCGCUGGUUCGCGAGAUGCUUUGUUACAGGCCCAGGAUGAUACCGUCGGGAAGAGGCUCACACGAGGUGAGUGAACAACACUUUAGGUUUUUCAUAAACAAUAACAAAUAUCCUUUAUUUCAGGUUACUUUUAACACAAAAUCACUCCCUCUUAGCGUCACGCCACAUGUAUGAGUCUUCGUGUGUCUCCGCGAUUGUUUAAACGCACGAGUUUUGUACACACGCCCGUUCGCGACGCUUGAGUCACAAACGGGUAAACGAUGUGAUGUGUUCGUAAUUUUAUUGCGUGAGGCUUCACUGCUUCUUCGUCGCACGCACUUAAUUAACGCGCGGACGAUCGCUUUUUACGUGCGAGGCACGGAACGAUCGCACGGGACGACUGUCUUCUCUACUCGCAUUCGAGAAUAGUCGCUGUGAACGCGCCACAAUGUAACGUGGAUGUUGUACGUUCAAUCUCUCGCGCGCGAAAGCUCACGAGAGCUCCCGCCGCUCGCUUAAGUACCAGUGCGGGGAUUCUCUCCACUCGCAUCGCUCCGCCAAUCACGCGUGGCGUCGGUUUUCAGGCGCGCGGCAUACGCGUCUUCCCCCUCUCCUCCGACUUGGACGAAUCGGCGCUGUGCGACGCUGCUGUGGUGCGGUACGUCUCCCCCACUCUCGAGCCUUCAGCCAAUCAUGGAGGUGCACUCUGGGGUGGAGAUGGAGCUACCCCUCUGGACUAAGGUAUUAUAAAAAAUAUCGAUUAUGCUGCCCAAUCGAACCAUGAUGUUUUAAACGAAGUAUCCAGUGUGUCAAAAAGUUUGCAGCCAUCUGAUAGCAGACAAACUGCUAGAGAACAAAGUAAGCCAUUCAUUUUCUAAAUAUUUUAUGUGAAUGACAAAUUGCAAUUAUGUUAGAGUUUGAAUCGCGUGAAAUUAUAUCAAUAUUUAUAUAUUAUCUCGUAGUCUUAACUUUCCAUUGCAAAAUUUAAGUUUGCAUAUUAAUUUGUAGAUUAUCGAGGAAAACAAUAGCAAUAAAAAAAAUCCAAGUAUGUUGCAUUCUGGAGCAAGCCUUGAAUUUCCAUUUCCAAAUGUAGAGGUAAUUGUUACAUUUUCUAAAUUUUUCUUUUGUUUAUUAAUUUAAUGCUCCAUUUAUUAUAUUUAAUAUAUAUCUAUUUAUUUUAGGACCCUAAGCUGCAAGAAUAUUACACAGAUGAAAAAAUUGAUAGCUUGUUGGUCGAAAAUCUCUACCUAAAGAGUAAGCUGGAACGGAUGCAUUCUAUUUUAAAAAUGUUCUCUCAUUAUCCAAAAAUUGCUAAAUAUUUACAAGAAGACAAUGUCAAAUAAUUAAUGUAUUAUUAAGAUUAUACUGUAAAAA